Molecule: RNA transcript, 6439 nt
Organism: Homo sapiens (human)
Lineage: Eukaryota; Metazoa; Chordata; Mammalia; Primates; Hominidae
Gene: CDK5RAP2
Gene name: CDK5 regulatory subunit associated protein 2
Exons: 39
Source: RefSeq, marked reviewed
GUUUCCGUAGGAAGAAGCGCCGGGAAAGAUGGCGGCGUCUGUGGUUUGAAUUCCAGCGGCGCCGCCAGAGUCUGAACAAGAGCUGGGGUGGAGGGGGCGGGGACCUGGGGAGCCCGGCGGGUCGCUAUCGCGGGGGGUACUAGUGGCGCCGCCGCCACAGACACCAACGCUGUCGCCACCUCUGUAGCCAUGAUGGACUUGGUGUUGGAAGAGGACGUCACCGUCCCUGGGACGCUCAGCGGCUGCAGUGGCCUUGUUCCCAGUGUACCAGAUGACCUGGAUGGCAUCAACCCCAAUGCUGGGUUGGGAAAUGUGCUCCCAAAUGUGUCAGAAGAAACAGUGUCUCCCACCAGAGCACGGAACAUGAAGGACUUUGAAAAUCAAAUCACUGAAUUGAAGAAAGAAAACUUUAACCUAAAGCUCCGCAUCUAUUUCCUUGAGGAAAGAAUGCAACAGGAAUUUCAUGGCCCCACUGAACAUAUCUACAAAACUAACAUUGAGCUCAAGGUGGAAGUAGAAAGUCUGAAGCGGGAACUCCAGGAGAGAGAGCAGCUGCUCAUCAAAGCCUCCAAAGCAGUUGAGAGCUUAGCUGAAGCAGGUGGCUCUGAAAUCCAGCGGGUGAAAGAAGAUGCUCGAAAGAAGGUGCAGCAGGUGGAAGAUCUCCUAACUAAAAGAAUACUCCUUUUGGAAAAGGAUGUGACAGCCGCCCAGGCAGAACUGGAAAAGGCCUUUGCAGGGACAGAGACGGAGAAGGCUCUUCGGUUGCGUUUGGAAAGCAAGCUUUCAGAGAUGAAGAAGAUGCACGAGGGGGACUUGGCGAUGGCUCUGGUCCUGGAUGAGAAAGACAGACUGAUUGAGGAGUUGAAGCUGUCUUUGAAGAGCAAAGAAGCUUUAAUUCAGUGCCUUAAAGAGGAGAAAUCUCAGAUGGCAUGUCCUGAUGAGAAUGUGUCAUCUGGAGAGCUCCGAGGACUUUGUGCUGCUCCAAGGGAAGAAAAGGAGAGAGAAACUGAGGCUGCACAAAUGGAGCAUCAGAAGGAGAGAAACAGCUUUGAAGAGAGGAUCCAGGCACUUGAAGAGGACCUGAGAGAGAAGGAAAGAGAAAUUGCUACAGAGAAGAAAAAUAGUCUAAAGAGGGAUAAAGCCAUUCAGGGUUUAACCAUGGCAUUAAAAUCAAAGGAAAAAAAGGUUGAAGAACUUAACUCUGAAAUUGAAAAGCUCAGUGCUGCCUUUGCUAAAGCCAGAGAGGCCCUACAGAAAGCACAGACCCAGGAAUUUCAGGGGUCUGAAGACUAUGAGACUGCUCUAUCAGGAAAGGAAGCCCUUUCGGCUGCGCUGCGCUCACAAAACCUCACCAAGAGUACAGAGAACCACAGACUGCGUAGAAGCAUUAAGAAGAUCACCCAGGAGCUGAGUGACUUGCAGCAGGAGAGGGAGAGACUGGAGAAGGACCUGGAGGAAGCCCAUCGAGAGAAGAGCAAAGGAGACUGCACCAUCCGUGGUCUCACUCUGUUUCCUGGGCUGUUCCUGAACUCCUGGGCUCAAGUGAUCCUCCCACCUCAGUUUCUUGAGUAGCUGGGAUUAUAGGCACAUGCCACCAUGCCCACCUCACUGAUUGUUCCUGAUAGAGGAUCUUAGAAAUGAAGUUGAAAAAUUACGCAAUGAAGUGAAUGAAAGAGAGAAAGCAAUGGAAAAUCGUUACAAGAGUCUUCUGAGUGAAAGCAAUAAAAAAUUGCACAAUCAAGAGCAAGUGAUCAAACAUCUAACAGAAAGUACCAAUCAGAAGGACGUGUUGCUUCAGAAAUUCAAUGAAAAAGAUUUGGAAGUAAUACAGCAGAACUGCUAUUUAAUGGCUGCAGAGGAUCUUGAGCUCAGGAGUGAAGGCUUAAUAACAGAAAAGUGCUCUUCUCAACAGCCACCAGGCAGCAAAACCAUCUUCUCUAAGGAAAAGAAACAAUCAUCAGACUAUGAAGAGCUGAUUCAGGUCUUAAAGAAAGAGCAGGACAUCUAUACCCAUCUGGUCAAAUCUCUGCAGGAAUCAGACAGUAUCAACAACCUGCAGGCUGAGUUAAACAAGAUUUUUGCCCUGCGGAAGCAACUGGAGCAGGAUGUGCUUUCAUAUCAGAAUUUGCGGAAGACCUUGGAGGAGCAGAUCAGCGAAAUUCGGAGGCGGGAAGAAGAAUCAUUUUCACUUUAUAGUGAUCAAACAUCUUAUCUAAGUAUUUGCCUUGAAGAAAACAAUCGGUUUCAAGUGGAACAUUUUUCUCAAGAAGAACUUAAGAAAAAGGUCAGUGACCUUAUACAGCUAGUGAAGGAGCUGUAUACAGACAACCAGCACCUGAAGAAAACCAUUUUUGAUCUCUCCUGCAUGGGUUUCCAGGGAAAUGGGUUUCCAGAUAGACUUGCGUCUACAGAACAAACAGAGACAUCACUGACUUAUUCAUACAUAUUCAUGCUGCACACUUUUUUGGGUUGCAUUUUCACACCAUUCCAUGCUCCAUGUAGCUUCUGGCUAGCAAGGAGGACGAGGACACGAUCAAAAUUGGGGAGGAUGACGAGAUUAAUUUCCUGAGUGACCAGCAUUUGCAGCAGAGUAAUGAGAUUAUGAAAGACCUUUCCAAAGGAGGCUGCAAAAAUGGAUACUUAAGGCACACGGAGUCUAAGAUUUCAGAUUGUGAUGGGGCCCACGCACCUGGCUGCCUAGAAGAAGGUGCAUUCAUAAACCUGCUUGCCCCUUUGUUCAAUGAGAAGGCCACAUUAUUACUGGAAUCCAGGCCAGACCUUCUGAAAGUGGUACGGGAACUGCUUCUGGGACAACUAUUCUUGACAGAGCAGGAAGUUUCUGGAGAACACCUUGAUGGUAAAACUGAGAAGACACCUAAGCAAAAAGGUGAACUUGUACAUUUUGUCCAAACCAACUCAUUUUCCAAGCCACAUGAUGAACUGAAGUUGUCUUGUGAGGCCCAGCUAGUAAAGGCAGGCGAAGUGCCCAAGGUAGGACUGAAAGAUGCCUCAGUGCAGACUGUGGCCACGGAGGGCGACCUGCUGAGAUUCAAGCAUGAAGCAACAAGAGAGGCUUGGGAAGAGAAACCGAUCAACACUGCACUCAGCGCAGAGCAUCGGCCAGAGAACCUGCACGGGGUGCCUGGGUGGCAGGCUGCCCUCCUUUCCCUCCCUGGUAUUACCAACAGAGAGGCUAAGAAGUCCCGCUUGCCAAUCCUAAUAAAACCAUCCCGGUCAUUAGGAAAUAUGUAUCGUCUCCCUGCCACCCAGGAGGUGGUGACGCAGCUGCAGAGCCAGAUCUUGGAGCUGCAGGGGGAGCUGAAGGAGUUUAAAACUUGUAAUAAGCAACUUCACCAAAAGUUAAUUCUGGCUGAAGCAGUGAUGGAGGGGAGGCCAACGCCCGACAAAACGUUGCUGAAUGCUCAGCCCCCUGUGGGAGCAGCCUACCAGGACAGCCCAGGAGAGCAGAAAGGAAUUAAAACCACAUCUUCUGUCUGGAGAGACAAGGAAAUGGACAGUGAUCAGCAAAGAAGCUACGAGAUUGACUCUGAGAUUUGCCCACCUGAUGACCUUGCCAGCUUGCCAUCAUGCAAAGAAAAUCCUGAAGAUGUUCUGAGCCCAACUUCAGUAGCUACUUACCUGAGUUCCAAGAGUCAGCCUUCUGCUAAAGUCAGUGUGAUGGGGACUGAUCAGUCAGAGAGCAUUAAUACCUCAAAUGAGACAGAAUACUUAAAACAGAAAAUCCAUGACUUGGAAACUGAGCUGGAAGGCUACCAGAAUUUCAUAUUUCAGCUUCAAAAGCACUCCCAGUGCAGUGAGGCCAUAAUUACAGUUUUGUGUGGGACAGAAGGGGCCCAGGAUGGCUUGAGCAAGCCCAAGAAUGGUUCUGAUGGGGAAGAAAUGACCUUUUCAAGUUUGCACCAAGUGCGAUACGUGAAACACGUGAAAAUCCUCGGUCCGCUGGCCCCAGAGAUGAUUGACAGCAGGGUGCUGGAGAACCUCAAACAGCAGCUGGAGGAACAGGAAUACAAGCUGCAGAAGGAGCAGAAUUUGAACAUGCAACUUUUCAGUGAGAUCCAUAAUCUGCAGAAUAAGUUCAGAGAUCUCUCACCUCCCAGAUACGAUUCAUUAGUUCAGUCCCAAGCCAGGGAGCUCUCCCUUCAACGGCAGCAGAUUAAGGAUGGCCAUGGCAUCUGUGUCAUCUCCCGUCAACACAUGAACACCAUGAUUAAGGCAUUUGAGGAGUUGCUGCAGGCCAGUGAUGUGGAUUACUGUGUGGCCGAGGGUUUCCAGGAACAGCUGAAUCAAUGUGCUGAGCUGCUGGAGAAAUUGGAAAAGCUAUUUCUCAACGGAAAAUCAGUUGGAGUGGAAAUGAACACCCAGAAUGAACUGAUGGAGAGGAUUGAGGAAGACAACUUAACCUACCAACAUCUUCUGCCUGAAUCUCCUGAGCCUUCAGCCUCUCAUGCGCUCUCUGAUUAUGAAACAUCUGAAAAGUCCUUCUUCUCACGAGACCAGAAGCAAGAUAAUGAGACAGAGAAGACUUCAGUUAUGGUGAACAGUUUUUCUCAAGACUUACUAAUGGAACACAUACAGGAAAUUCGAACUUUGAGAAAGCGUUUAGAAGAAUCUAUUAAAACAAAUGAGAAGCUACGGAAACAGUUGGAACGGCAAGGAUCUGAAUUUGUUCAAGGUUCUACAAGCAUUUUUGCUUCUGGUUCAGAGCUUCAUAGUUCUCUAACAUCAGAAAUUCAUUUCUUGAGGAAGCAGAACCAGGCCCUCAAUGCAAUGCUCAUUAAAGGAUCCAGAGAUAAACAGAAGGAGAAUGACAAAUUACGAGAGUCCCUCUCCAGGAAGACCGUGAGCCUGGAGCACCUUCAGCGGGAGUAUGCCAGCGUGAAGGAAGAAAAUGAAAGGCUGCAGAAAGAAGGCAGCGAGAAGGAGAGACACAACCAGCAGCUGAUCCAGGAGGUCCGCUGCAGCGGCCAGGAGCUGAGCAGGGUGCAGGAGGAGGUGAAGUUGAGGCAGCAGCUGCUCUCACAGAAUGACAAGCUAUUGCAGUCUCUCCGAGUGGAGCUGAAGGCGUAUGAGAAGCUGGAUGAAGAGCACAGGAGACUGAGAGAGGCGUCGGGAGAAGGCUGGAAGGGGCAGGAUCCUUUCAGGGACCUGCACAGCCUCCUGAUGGAGAUCCAGGCUCUGCGCUUGCAACUAGAAAGGAGCAUCGAAACCAGCAGCACUCUGCAGAGCAGGCUCAAGGAACAGCUGGCAAGGGGGGCAGAGAAGGCACAGGAAGGAGCCCUCACUCUGGCUGUCCAAGCCGUGUCCAUCCCUGAGGUGCCCCUUCAGCCUGACAAACACGAUGGUGACAAAUAUCCCAUGGAAAGUGAUAAUUCAUUUGAUCUGUUUGAUUCCUCCCAGGCAGUGACACCAAAAUCAGUUUCAGAGACUCCUCCACUCUCUGGGAAUGACACGGACUCCCUCUCCUGCGACAGUGGCAGUUCGGCAACUAGCACUCCGUGUGUGUCCCGCCUGGUCACUGGCCACCACCUGUGGGCCAGCAAGAAUGGCCGCCAUGUCCUGGGCCUGAUUGAGGACUAUGAGGCCCUGCUCAAACAGAUCAGCCAGGGACAGAGGCUCCUUGCUGAAAUGGACAUUCAAACCCAAGAGGCUCCCAGCUCCACAAGUCAAGAGCUGGGAACAAAGGGUCCACACCCAGCACCACUGAGCAAGUUUGUGAGCAGUGUGAGCACGGCCAAGCUGACCCUGGAAGAGGCCUACAGGCGGCUGAAGCUUCUCUGGAGAGUCUCACUCCCCGAGGAUGGCCAGUGCCCCCUUCACUGUGAGCAGAUUGGAGAAAUGAAGGCAGAGGUCACCAAACUACAUAAAAAAUUGUUUGAACAAGAAAAGAAGUUGCAAAACACCAUGAAGCUUUUGCAGCUGAGCAAGCGCCAGGAAAAAGUCAUCUUUGAUCAAUUGGUCGUAACCCACAAAAUCCUUCGGAAGGCCAGAGGAAACCUGGAGCUUAGGCCUGGGGGAGCCCAUCCAGGAACAUGCAGUCCCAGCAGACCAGGCUCCUGAGAAGAACUUUCAGCCAAUAAAGCUUGUGCUUCCCCCACCGAGCUCACGCUGUCUCUUUGUUCCAAGUGUGGUUCCUAUUUAUUGAGGAAGAAAGAGCUGUCUGGCCAAAGGAAAUCUAUUUUUUCCCUUCAUGUUUUCUCUCUGAAAGUUGGCUUGAGAGUUGUUGUCAGAAAGGUGCAGGUGCUCCACAAACGGGUGGUAAAAAGGCCUCGAGCUCUUGGAUGUUGUAUUUCAGAUCAGGGGCAGGCACCGGAGUUGAGGCUGUGCGCCUUGGUGGGCUUCACGUCUUCCCCUGGAUUUGCUUAGUACUCAGCCAGUGCCACAGUUUGAAGAUUCUCAUUAAAUGAUUCAUUUCAUUUCA